This 253-nucleotide ribosomal RNA is filed under the name uncultured bacterium. RNAcentral describes it as "partial 16S ribosomal RNA". It matches the Rfam family "Bacterial small subunit ribosomal RNA", at positions 524 to 776 of the family's 1533-position model. The record is from RNAcentral.
UACGUAGGGGGCAAGCGUUGUCCGGAUUUAUUGGGCGUAAAGAGCGUGUAGGCGGUUUGGUAGGUCCGUUGUGAAAACUCGAGGCUCAACCUCGAGACGCCGAUGGAAACCAUCAGACUAGAGUCCGGAAGAGGAGAGUGGAAUUCCUGGUGUAGCGGUGAAAUGCGCAGAUAUCAGGAGGAACACCGGUGGCGAAGGCGGGUCUCUGGGCAGUAACUGACGCUGAGGAGCGAAAGCGUGGGGAGCGAACAGG